UACGGGGGGAGCAAGCGUUGUUCGGAUUUACUGGGCGUAAAGGGCGCGUAGGCGGUCGUGACAAGUCACUUGUGAAAUCUCCGGGCUUAACUCGGAACGGUCAAGUGAUACUGUCGGACUAGAGUACAGAAGGGGCAACUAGAAUUCUCGGUGUAGCGGUGAAAUGCGUAGAUAUCGAGAGGAACACCUGCGGCGAAGGCGGGUUGCUGGGCUGAUACUGACGCUGAGGCGCGAAAGCCAGGGGAGCGAACGGG
This 254-nucleotide ribosomal RNA is filed under the name uncultured bacterium. RNAcentral describes it as "partial 16S ribosomal RNA". It matches the Rfam family "Bacterial small subunit ribosomal RNA", at positions 524 to 776 of the family's 1533-position model. The record is from RNAcentral.